AGAGUUUGAUCAUGGCUCAGAAUGAACGCUGGCGGCGUGCUUAACACAUGCAAGUCGAGCGAGGCCAGGGGGGCAACUCCCUGAGUCGAGCGGCGGACGGGUGAGUAACACGUGGGUAACCUACCCGGAAGUGGGGAAUACCUCGGGGAAACUCGAGCUAAUACCGCAUGACAUCUUUGGGACGAAAGUCCUGACGAUCAAAGCGGGGUCGCAAGAUCUCGCGCUACCGGAUGGGCCCGCGCCCGAUUAGCUAGUUGGUGAGGUAACGGCUCACCAAGGCGACGAUCGGUAACCGGCCUGAGAGGGCGAUCGGUCACACCGGAACUGAGACACGGUCCGGACUCCUACGGGAGGCAGCAGUGGGGAAUCUUGCGCAAUGGGCGAAAGCCUGACGCAGCAACGCCGCGUGGAGGAUGAAGGCCCUUGGGUUGUAAACUCCUGUCGGCUGGGAAGAAGUCGUUCGCGGUUAAUACCCGCGGACGUUGACUGUACCAGCAAAGGAAGCCCCGGCUAACUCUGUGCCAGCAGCCGCGGUAAUACAGAGGGGGCCAGCGUUAUUCGGAAUUAUUGGGCGUAAAGGGCGCGUAGGCGGCCAUGCGUGUCUUCCGUGAAAUCCCUCGGCUCAACCGAGGACGUGCGGAAGAAACUGCAAGGCUCGAGUCCAGAAGAGGGGGGCGGAAUUCCCAGUGUAGCGGUGAAAUGCGUAGAUAUUGGGAGGAACACCGGUGGCGAAGGCGGCCCCCUGGGCUGGUACUGACGCUGAUGCGCGAAAGCGUGGGUAGCAAACGGGAUUAGAUACCCCGGUAGUCCACGCCGUAAACGAUGGGCACUUGGUGUCGCGGGUAUCGACCCCUGCGGUGCCGAAGCUAACGCAUUAAGUGCCCCGCCUGGGGAGUACGGUCGCAAGGCUGAAACUCAAAUGAAUUGACGG
Molecule: ribosomal RNA, 931 nt
Filed under: uncultured bacterium
Lineage: Bacteria
Description: bacterial SSU rRNA
Rfam family: Bacterial small subunit ribosomal RNA
Source: RNAcentral